Molecule: ribosomal RNA, 253 nt
Filed under: uncultured bacterium
Lineage: Bacteria
Description: partial 16S ribosomal RNA
Rfam family: Bacterial small subunit ribosomal RNA
Source: RNAcentral
UGCGUAGGGUGCGAGCGUUAAUCGGAAUUACUGGGCGUAAAGUGUGCGCAGGCGGCAGAGCAAGUCGAGUGUGAAAGCCCCGGGCUUAACUUGGGAAUUGCGCUCGAAACUACUUUGCUGGAGUGUGGCAGAGGAAGGUGGAAUUCCACGUGUAGCGUUGAAAUGCGUAGAGAUGUGGAGGAACACCAAUGGCGAAGGCAGCCUUCUGGGCCAACACUGACGCUCAUGCACGAAAGCGUGGGGAGCAAACAGG